Molecule: transfer RNA, 84 nt
Filed under: Dechloromonas sp.
Lineage: Bacteria; Pseudomonadati; Pseudomonadota; Betaproteobacteria; Rhodocyclales; Azonexaceae
Description: tRNA-Leu
Rfam family: tRNA
About the family: Transfer RNA (tRNA) molecules are approximately 80 nucleotides in length. Their secondary structure includes four short double-helical elements and three loops (D, anti-codon, and T loops). Further hydrogen bonds mediate the characteristic L-shaped molecular structure. tRNAs have two regions of fundamental functional importance: the anti-codon, which is responsible for specific mRNA codon recognition, and the 3' end, to which the tRNAs corresponding amino acid is attached (by aminoacyl-tRNA synthetases). tRNAs cope with the degeneracy of the genetic code in two manners: having more than one tRNA (with a specific anti-codon) for a particular amino acid; and 'wobble' base-pairing, i.e. permitting non-standard base-pairing at the 3rd anti-codon position.
Source: RNAcentral
GCCCAGGUGGCGGAAUUGGUGACGCACUAGUUUCAGGUACUAGCGCCGCGAGGUGUGCCGGUUCGAGUCCGGCCUUGGGCACCA